AGUUUGAUCCUGGCUCAGGAUGAACGCUGGCGGCGUGCUUAACACAUGCAAGUCGAACGGUGAACACGGAGCUUGCUCUGUGGGAUCAGUGGCGAACGGGUGAGUAACACGUGAGCAACCUGCCCCUGACUCUGGGAUAAGCGCUGGAAACGGCGUCUAAUACUGGAUAUGUGACGUGACCGCAUGGUCUGCGUCUGGAAAGAAUUUCGGUUGGGGAUGGGCUCGCGGCCUAUCAGCUUGUUGGUGAGGUAAUGGCUCACCAAGGCGUCGACGGGUAGCCGGCCUGAGAGGGUGACCGGCCACACUGGGACUGAGACACGGCCCAGACUCCUACGGGAGGCAGCAGUGGGGAAUAUUGCACAAUGGGCGCAAGCCUGAUGCAGCAACGCCGCGUGAGGGACGACGGCCUUCGGGUUGUAAACCUCUUUUAGCAGGGAAGAAGCGAAAGUGACGGUACCUGCAGAAAAAGCGCCGGCUAACUACGUGCCAGCAGCCGCGGUAAUACGUAGGGCGCAAGCGUUAUCCGGAAUUAUUGGGCGUAAAGAGCUCGUAGGCGGUUUGUCGCGUCUGCUGUGAAAUCCGGAGGCUCAACCUCCGGCCUGCAGUGGGUACGGGCAGACUAGAGUGCGGUAGGGGAGAUUGGAAUUCCUGGUGUAGCGGUGGAAUGCGCAGAUAUCAGGAGGAACACCGAUGGCGAAGGCAGAUCUCUGGGCCGUAACUGACGCUGAGGAGCGAAAGGGUGGGGAGCAAACAGGAUUAGAUACCCUGGUAGUCC
This 775-nucleotide ribosomal RNA is filed under the name uncultured Actinomycetes bacterium. Its description in RNAcentral is "bacterial SSU rRNA". It matches the Rfam family "Bacterial small subunit ribosomal RNA", at positions 10 to 796 of the family's 1533-position model. The record is from RNAcentral. Lineage: Bacteria; Bacillati; Actinomycetota; Actinomycetes.